AAAAAUAUGGAUAGGCUCGGAAUUCAAGGGUGAGCAAACUGUCCUGAAGAAAUUCUGGCCGGCAAAGGUUGCCGGAAAAAAUCAAAGUUGUUGGAAUCGAACAAAAAAUGGAUGGGUAGGGUCGGAAUUAUAUUUCGACUAAACUGUCCUUCUGGAGCGAUCAGAAAAAGUGGCCGGAAAGGCCCUCACGCGCCGGCGCGUGGGCGUCACGCGCCGAGGGUCCUGCCGCGCGUGGGGGCGCGUGAAGCGUCGGUUUUCGGUGAUUUUUUCUGGGGUUGGUCGGAAUUCUCUCCCGAACCUCGUGGUGGUCUCGGAUUUUGCACAACACCAACAGAAAAGGUAGUUUAGGUUACGGNNNN
Molecule: long non-coding RNA, 359 nt
Filed under: Nicotiana benthamiana
Lineage: Eukaryota; Viridiplantae; Streptophyta; Magnoliopsida; Solanales; Solanaceae
Description: long non-coding RNA (NBEN_LNC020038)
Source: RNAcentral